AGACAAUAGCUUUCCUUUACAGUAGGCCUAACUUUAUCUCAAGAAAAGUUUUCCCCUUGUCGCCUGAGACGUAGGUCAAGGAGUGGAGGAGUGACACAAUUACGGUAGGUCUAACGUUACAACCUCUGUAUAGCUUGUUAGUGUACUGAUUCAUUAUCGCUUCAUAGUUAGCAGGAGACAUAAAUAUGAAGGGACAAUGAAUCAGUACACUGAUUUUCAUACUGACAAGAUUAAUAGGCUAUGCUCAGUUUAUUAAAUAGCCUUAGGUUGGACGUAGGCUAUUUAAUAAAUUUAGCGUAGCCUAUUCAUCUGUCAGUAUGAAACGCGACUUGCCCAUUCAUGAUCGGAAGAACGCGUAUCGACCACCGUUACUGUAAAAUAUGCACGUAUGUCCAUUUAAACUCGAUUUUGGUAAAAUGUGAACUAUACCAUCACACUGGCAAUAUUACGACUACAUUUAAAGACGACGUACCAAGUAUGACAACGCUACGUUCAACUGCUUUGAAAUUAGGGUGUUUUUUUCAUUUCCUGAAAAGUAACCGUUUUGGAUAUACGCGAGUUUCAUCGGACAGCGACGAUAUACAGCUUUUAACAGCUUUUCACAUGGCAUAGAAACACACUAACUCAUAACUAAUGCUGUUGCCUUAAGUAAAUGACCUAAAUGGUUCAUGGCAUGCUUUGGAGAAAAUGUGCUCAUUAUGUUUGUAUUCUCCAUAGGAUUCCAGAAGUUUGGCAUCUCCCUCAGCCAAUUGCCUAAUGCAAAGCUCUUUGAUGACUCCAAAACUGAGGUUGACCAUGAGGUGUUUGAAGAAGUGAUCGGUGCAAAUACUGGUGUUUAUGAGCUAUCCAUUGAUGGUGUCUCUGAAGGUUUUGUUUCUGAGGCACCAGCUGUUGGCCAGUCGACACCAGCUGUCGACACCAGCUGUAAGUCAAGAGGACCCUGAUACUGACUCUGUCAUUCUGAGCGAUGAAAGUCCCCAGGGGAAACGGUCCAGACCAAAUAGGUCUGAUGCCCAUGCUUUGGUUGACGAAAUACUUCGCAAGAAACCUGGUGGUGAUAAUGUCAUUAGGGAGUAUGACAGAACAAAAAAUGUUAUCAGACAGUACACGGCGGAAAACGGUGAACAUUCUAGUAGCUGAAAUGAUGGAGAAGCAUGGAAAAAUGCCACCACGCCAUAUAAGAGAAAUGCAUGCACAGGGAAUUAUUGAGCUCUUUCCAUACCUGAGGGAUCCCCAAGCCAAACAUGGCUAUGUAAGUUGUUUGACAUUUGUGCACCCCCAACACACAAACUCGUCCAUACAUAUUACUCACUUGUUGACCCUUCAUCUUUUUGCAGCU
This is a long non-coding RNA of Gadus chalcogrammus (walleye pollock), 1339 nucleotides long. RefSeq lists it as uncharacterized. The transcript is spliced from 4 exons. Lineage: Eukaryota; Metazoa; Chordata; Actinopteri; Gadiformes; Gadidae. The record is from RefSeq and is a predicted model, not a curated record.